AGGAUGAACGCUGGCGGCGUGCUUAACACAUGCAAGUCGAACGAACCCUUUCGGGGGUGAGUGGCGGACGGGUGAGUAACGCGUGAGGAUCUGCCUACAGGAUGGGGACAACAGCGGGAAACUGCUGACUAAAACCCAAUAUGCCGAGAGGUGAAAUAUUAUAGCCUGUGGAUGAGCUCGCGUCUGAUUAGCUAGUUGGUGAGGUAAAGGCUUA
Molecule: ribosomal RNA, 214 nt
Filed under: uncultured soil bacterium
Lineage: Bacteria
Description: partial 16S ribosomal RNA
Rfam family: Bacterial small subunit ribosomal RNA
Source: RNAcentral